This 154-nucleotide ribosomal RNA is filed under the name uncultured Persicobacter sp. RNAcentral describes it as "partial 16S ribosomal RNA". It matches the Rfam family "Bacterial small subunit ribosomal RNA", at positions 355 to 507 of the family's 1533-position model. The record is from RNAcentral. Lineage: Bacteria; Pseudomonadati; Bacteroidota; Cytophagia; Cytophagales; Persicobacteraceae.
UAGGGAAUAUUGGGCAAUGGGCGCAAGCCUGACCCAGCCAUGCCGCGUGCAGGAAGAAGGCGUUCUGCGUUGUAAACUGCUUUUAUAUAGGAAGAAACGACCCUUGCGAGGGGCAUUGACGGUAUUAUAUGAAUAAGCACCGGCUAACUCCGUG